This 95-nucleotide small RNA is filed under the name Salmonella enterica subsp. enterica serovar Infantis. RNAcentral describes it as "partial RtT sRNA". It matches the Rfam family "RtT RNA", at positions 35 to 130 of the family's 130-position model. Rfam says of the family: This family represents a bacterial cis-regulatory element known as RtT RNA. RNAcentral also lists the same sequence under 2 other names. Lineage: Bacteria; Pseudomonadati; Pseudomonadota; Gammaproteobacteria; Enterobacterales; Enterobacteriaceae. The record is from RNAcentral.
GCCGCAGGUUCGGGACUCACGCAGUGAGACAACGGAGCCGCUUGCGGCGACGGCCCGAAGGGCGAGCGAAGCGAGUCAUCCUGCACGACCCACCA